Molecule: long non-coding RNA, 6878 nt
Filed under: Carica papaya (papaya)
Lineage: Eukaryota; Viridiplantae; Streptophyta; Magnoliopsida; Brassicales; Caricaceae
Description: long non-coding RNA (CPAP_LNC009233)
Source: RNAcentral
GCGGGAGUAUUUUAAGUAUUUCAGCUUCUCAGAGAGAGGUAUGAAUUUCUUCGUCUUUCAUUGUUAGAACGAAGAAACGAAUUCACGUCUUCUCUGGCCUAACUCUGGUAAUAUUUUGCUUGAAAAAAAUUGUCUUGUACGUUGUAUCAUUAAACGUUUACUGCAAUCGCGUAUUGUUGGUCGCCAAGCUUGAGAUUCAAGCCGGUGCAUUGCAAGUAUAAUGGCGAUUUGAAAUGGAUUUGUCUUUGAUUUGAUUUUGUGGAAUCGAAGAGUUGGACUACUCUGGUUUCUUCCACCGCUUGAUUUGCUACGUGUAAUUCUUAGCUUACUAGGGAUUUAAAUCUAAUGUAUUUGAACACUAAUUCUCAUUGUGCUAAAAUGUGUGUUUUUGGUUAUCUGGAAGCUAAUACAGGGGUCUUGCUAGUUACAAAACUUCUCUCUCUUUCCCUACACAUCUCUUGUACAUCCUGUUCAAGUGAAAAAUUUAUGUACAAAUUCACUCAUGACUGAAGUCUGUAGUGAUUUUAACUUCUUAAUAAACAGUAUAUCUCAGUUAUAUGUAGAAUUUGUUUUGUUAUUCUGAGUUAUAAAUAAUUUUUUUUGGCUACUAACAAUCUAGCAGUGCCGUUCUUGGAACCCUUAUCAAAAUUGUAAAGGCCUGGCAAGGGAGCCAUACUGGGGCAGACAUAAGGAAGGAACACAGAAGCUUGUGUCCAAGUCUUUAAGAUUAUUUUAAGAUUGUCUUUGUCAAUAAGAAUGGUGGCUGCUGCUGUGAAAAAUCAGCUUACUGUUCGUUUUUGUGAAAGAUUGAAAAUUCCUCAAGAGUCAGAAGAUACAAGAGUUCUUUUGUGUCUUGUUUGGAGGUUUUGAAGCUACACUAACAUAUUUUACAUUUGAAAACUCAAUAUUCUAAACCAUAAUUUCAAGUAAUAUCUUAUAAUCAUGUGCGAAAUUCAUGACCCUGUUUGGACCAUUGUGAUAGUUGAGUGCUAAGUUUAUCCUCUUGGCUGUUUUCUUGCUUGCUAGAACUUAAGAGUGAUCGCAAUUGUAUGACUUUUGCAAAGAAUAAUAAGAUAAUAUAACUUGUUAAAUACUUAAUUAGUUGGGUGAUUAAAUAUGUUAAAAACUAAACUGAUAGAAAACUGCCGCACUUUAUUAUUUAUAUUUUUAAUAUAUCCCCAUGCAUGUAAGUGAGACAACAGAUUUAGUAUGUGAACACAAACUCAAAUUGACGAGUCGAAUAAGCACAUAUAUAACAGGUUUUGGGUAGAGUCACAAACGAGUCUGAAAUUUAUUUCUCUACUCCAUUGUUAUGUUAGAUAAUUGAUUGCCUCAUUAAUUAUUUUAAAGUUUUAAGUUAAUAGAAAAAGACUUUAACUUUAUUGUUUAUGUUCUAAUAGACAUAAUAACCAGUUAGAAUAUUACUGUUUGCGAUAUUUCAGAAUAGAUAGUCUAUUUACUAAGUCCUCCAUGGAAUUUUACUGUUCUCUUCAUUGUGCUUGUUGAUGUGAAAAUUUCAAUGGAUGAAAUAUUUCUUAACAUGUGUCAUCUGUCCAUAGAAUUAUAGUUUCAAUCUCAAAUGAGUACAUGGUGCUGGACAUUUUUCUUUCCUUCACUUGAUUUUACUCCAUGCAUAUUAAGGCAUGAGUAGUGAUAACUGCUGAUAAAUUUCAAAUUAUAUAUCCAAUUGGCAAUAAGUCGCUCAAAUCUUAUUCUUUCUGGUCCUUAUCCUCAGCAAUAAAAUCUCAGUGCAUGUCUCAUUAGAAGUUAGCUCCUAAAAAGUUGUUCAAUGUGUCAUAUGAGUCCCCGGGAAAGAGGGGUCCAAGAUAAAAAAUUGAUUUUGAGGGAUCUGAACGCUCGUGUUAAGUGUCCGAUAUUCAUUUGAUGAAAUAUUGGAAGAUCAAUUCCAUGUUGACCCUUGUUAGCUAUUGUAUCUUCUCAACUUCUGAUUUGUUUUCAAAUCAAUAGUUCUUCUGCAAUGCUGUAAUUGGUACUUGAAAAAUGGACUGUAGUACUAAUAUUUUGAUCAAAUCAACUCUAUUCUCACUCUUUCUAGAUUCUAAUUCUUUUUUUUUUAGUUAUAUAAAAUAAUAAUAGACAUUUCAUGUAUAAUUAAAUUAAUUUCUCUUCUAUCAUAAAUUUCAGAAUCAUAUAUUUUUUAUUCUCACUUGUUAAGGAAAAAAUUAUACAGAAUAUCUAAUUUUAAUUGGAUAUAGAACUAUCUAGGAAUUGCACUGUUGUUUUUGUUCAAAUUUCUAUCAUGCUUCAAGUGUAUUUCAGGGAUCCAUGUUCUGUGAAUACCACAAGAUAGCUUUUAACCAGUGCAGUGCGGCAGUCUGGCUACUGUCAUUAGUCAGCUCCAUUUAUCAUAUUCUGCAUGUGAGUAAUAUAAUAUAACAUUCCCCUUUGGGUGAAAUUUCGUUUGACAUGAAUAGAUAGUGGAUUUGCCCUCAGCUUCCAUUGGUUCAAUGGUAUGUGGAUGAAAAAUACUUUGUUUAAUGUGUGGUUUCUAUAUUUUCCAAUGCAGGAUGCAUGUUUUGAAUUUAUGGCAUCUUCCUUGUCAUUGGUGGUAAUUACCUUUAUUAUUCAAGAUUUUUGUGUGGUCAGUGUUGCAUUUUACGGGAUUAAUUUUGUUAAUGGGUACUUUUUGACACAGUAUUUCUUAUAGGAAUUAGUAUUUUUCAGUAUGAUAUUAUAUUGAUAUCGUGAAGCAGGUGGACAGAGCAUUGUUAUUAGAAUUGGUGAUUUCUGAAUAAAUAAGAAGCAAAGAAAAGCUUCUGUUAGUUGACCAAGCUGAUUGGGUGGGGGCGGCAGCCGCCCGUUCAUUACUGGUUGAUUGGUUAUAACUUUUGAGACUGUUGACUUGUUUCUUACAUUGUUGACUGAGCUGCGAUUUUAUGGAGUUAAGGAAUUCUUCCAUUUCCUGAAAUUUUAACUGAAUCGUGAUUUGAAUCCUUUUUUAAUGGAUGAGGAGGUGUAAAAAAUGAAACAAGUCAUAAUUUCUUUUACUUAUAAAAAUUUACAACUAAUCCUAGAAUUCUUUUGACCUAUGCUAAUCUUUGCAGCACAGUGAUGAACACCAGGUAGCAUGAAGUAGAACUAGUAAGAUGUAUUUACUCAACUAAUUAAUUCACCUAUAGUCGCGUAUCAAACCUUCAGGUUGUAGUGGUGCUAUGUGCAAAAUAGUCUCUGCUGCUGGUUGAGGUGGUGGUUGCGAUGUGGUAACCUUGCUACAACCAACAAUCUUCUGGCAGGUCUGGAGGAGGCAGUUUCUGCAGGUAGGGCAGGAGGAAUGCGAGUUUAGCCACUUAUCAAUGCAGCGGACGUGGAAUCCAUGGUUACACUUGGGCAGAAGCCUCAAGUGCUCGCCGGAUGCAAACUCAGAGAGGCAAAUGGCACACUUGUUGUCCAGCUUCACUCUGCUGAGUAGUUUACAGUUGGGAAAGUCUUUAAAGCCUUUUUCUUGAUCCCAGUGUUGGCUAAACGAGCUGAGGGGUUGCCACUCGUCUCAGAAGCCACUAAGCUUGAACAUCUUAAUGCACACUUUAUGAUGGAGUUAAGUCCCAGGGAGCAAAUUAGAGCACAAAGGAGGACUGAGAGAACCAUAACAACAUUAGCGUCAAAGCCAUUGCUGGCACCAUAGGGAUCAGAUGGGUCAUGGCUGUUACUGGGGGGAGGAGCUGCUGCUGUUGGUAGAUGCUGAAGGUUUUGUGGUAGUAAUCUUCGGGAGUAAAAUACUGGAUGUUGGAAUAGUUGAGUGGAUAUAGAAGAGGAAGCAGACAUGGUUUAGAGAGUUUUGAUAGUUGAGAUAACUUCUUGCUGCUUGCUGCAUAAGAGGGAUGACAUAAAUAUAUAGGGUUGAAGUUUCUUCUAUCGAGCAUUAUGUUAUAUUAUAUUAUAUAUAUAAAUAUUAUAAAAAGAUUAUUCACAUGUGAAAUGUAGUUAAGAGAAUAUGCGAAGGUUUUUUUUUUAGCCCCACAUACAGGUUUAAUCUUUUGAUUUUAUUUUUGCAGGUUUUGGAAUCAUACGGACACAUUCCACUGAGCUUUACAUAUUUUAAUUGGCGUCCCAGUGAGGAUUGGUGGCUUGUGUGAAAGUGACACGUGGUGGCUAUCUUGGCAAAUUGCAUCUGUAAAUGCUGCUGGGGACCCAGUGGCCUGAGAAGCAGCCAUGAAGGUUCCGAUAAUACGUUUGUGGAGAUGUAAUUUUAGAGGGAUGGGCAUCUCUUUUGAUCUCUUCUUUUUCUAAAUUUUUUGUUUUCAUAUAUGCAGCUUAAAGUGAUAGACAUGCCAGAUCUUUUUUGAGUCAGACUCAACUCAACGUGAUUUUCCCUGUGAGUUAUUGCUCUUUCAUUUCAUGUUAGUGCUUGCAACUUCUAGUCCGUUUUCAGCUUGUUCAAUUUUCUGUUGCAUGACAAGUUAUUGCAGGGUCCCAUAUAAAGGAACGAGAUUGAUUGGUACUACUCGUAUAUAUAAAUGUUUUUGAUAUAAUUUUUGUUCCAACUAAAUUAGAAUGUUCCCACUAAUUUUAAUUAAAGUUUAUUAAUAAUAACUUCAAUAAUUAAAAAGGAAAUUAGCUAACACCAAUUAAUCUUGAAAAACUGUAAGCCACUUUGGUUUUAAGCCUAUCUGUCAUUCUCAGUUACUAUUAACUCUCAUAUUCGUAUCUUUAGUACACAAUACAACACAGCCAUCUGCAGCUGCCUGCUCCUUUUCAUUUUUGAACCUGUCAAUGACCGUGAAAUUAACAUUAAAGAAAGCCAUUUCCCUCUCCCUUUUAGAUCUCUUAUUUUGUUUUCUUUGCACGCCGUGAUCUUUUCCUGAUUGCAAAUCUAAGUAUAAUCCAAAUAAAUUAAUUAAUAUGCUCCUCUCCUUCUGCCUCCAAAUUAACUAAUUUUCUUUUCCAGAUAGUUUGUUGUUUAAUUGGAAUCUUUUUGCUUUUAUGAAAAAUCAUAAGGGUACUCUUUUUUUAAUGAAAUAUCAAGUGGGUGCUUUUUUUCUUUCUUUUUUUUAAAUAUUAAAUGGGUUCUUCAUGGUAAUGUGGAAAGAAUUACGAGGUUGAUUUCUUGAUCUACUUUUGUGUCCUGUAGUUUUGCCUUCAAAACCCACCUGUACAACAUGUACAAAAAGUUGAGACAGCAAGUUCAUAAUAAUAUAGGUACUGUUUUUAUUUUCAGAGAAUUAAUUAAGUUUAAUAAGAUCUCAGAGGGAGUUUGCUCCUUUUUUUUUUUUAAAAAAAAAAAAUUAUAAAAUUAAAAAAAUGCUUCACUUUAUGGUUUUGCGCUAAGUGUCGGUUGAAAUUUGUAUCUUCUUGGUAAGCUGGAUUUCACUAUAUAAUUGUUGUGUCUUUAUAUGCUGAUCUGGGAUAAAUAAAGAAUAUUCCUUGUUGUAGAAUAUCAUACAAAUAUGAAUGUCGUGCAUGUGCGAUACUCCCAUUGAGGUUGUUGUUCAUCACUUAAAUUUACUUAUGAUUAUAUUCUCAUGAUUAAGGACUUAGAAAAUUGGAAGGAUAGAGCACUAUAAAAGCAAUCUAUUCCUACUUUAGAUAUUUACGCUGUUUAAUUUCAUUUCCAUUUUAUUUCUAGUAAUUUUUGAUUAUAAAUUAUAUCAAAUAUGUAUAGCUUUUACUAAAUUAAAUAUUAGUAUUUACUGUACAGAACAUGUAUUCUCAAAAGAGCCGCAAGUGAAACAAUAUUCUUCAUAUGUAUUAUUAUCAACACUAUUUUUUUUUUUUUUAAUUUUUAUUGUCCUUCAAAGUUCUACUUAUCGAGAGUGUGAGUUAUUAUUGAAUCCUGCUCGCACAUUAAAAGAGAGAGAGAAAAGAAAAACCUUUUGCUCCCAUUAUGAAAUCCACGCUGCCUCCUUUAGAACAAAAGAAAAAGAAUGAUAAGGGUACAUCACCACCAAUUCUCCAUUGUACAUCAUUACAGUGCUCGAGAUGAAAAUAACUGAAAGCUGUAACUCAAGAGACAUGGGAGUGCAUUAUGAGAAUUAGCAAAAAGGUUGAAUAUCUGCUUCACAAGAACAUUAUGAAAUGCUUUUUAGAGGUAGUGAAAAAUAAUUGAAAGAAACUUUAUGAAAAGCAAAUUUCCUUACAUAAUAAAAGCUUUUUAUGGAUAACUUGUCCAAACAUAUGGUGAAAAAUGUGCUUAUAUCUGUGUGGAAAUCCUGCAGAAAAUGUGGAAGCAGCAUCUUUUCUCUGGAUAAAGAAGCAUAUUGGUGUACACUGGCAGGUAGCUAAUGACUCUGAAUUGUUUAACAUUAAGGUUUAAACAGACAGAAAGAAGUUUUAGGAAAAGUAAUGAUGAGAAGUUAGUAAAGAGAGAAAUUCUUAUCAAAUUAGUAUUGAUGGAUGGUGGGAGUUGUAAAGUGGUCAGGGUAAAGAUAUACCUAAAACACAAAGGCUAGAUACAUAGCAUAUAACAGCAAUAAAGAUCAGUAGCUGAAACUUUUGUGUGACGUGAAAUAGGCUUGCUCUCAAUUAUUGUAACCAAUUGUUGAUAUCCAAAAGAAUACAAAGGAAAAGAAUAUAGGACAACAGAAAGUAGCUUUUCUAGUGUACUGCUUCACAUCAUUGCUGCAUGUUACUUGAUCCGGAUUGGAGUUUUCUACAAGCAGCCUAAAGGGUUAGCAUUUACUAUUGCUCCUUGUUUGGAUAUAUUAACAAAGUUCAUUUUUUUUUGGGUGAUGAGGAAUCUUCUUCCGUUCUUUUGAUGUUAAAACACAAUCUUGAUUUUUGAGGUGCCUUCUUUAAUUCUCCAUUGAACAUUGAAGUUCAAACACCUAUCAAAAGUAUUAUUAAUAUGUGACUUGUAUAGUAUAUCUUGGACUAUCACAAUCUUCAUCUCUUAAACUUUGAUGUUCUGAUCAAGCAAUUCC